CCCUGAUUCUUGUCAUCUCGAAAGGAUUUCUUCAAGUUCUGUGGAGGUCGUGAUCCUCCCCUUCCUGGCGCGCCAAAUCUGUUGCGGCCAAUCCCCUCGUCGACUGGUCGUCGAGAAUGAACACCUGCAAGAGAAGUCCACACUGACCGAAGAUGCCUCCGACGGAGACCCUCCGACGGUCAAGGGAGACUAGGCAACAGUAGAAAAGAAUCAGGGGAACUCAGUGAGAGGGUUAGAGAGAGAGAGAGAGUUAGAGAGAGAGUGAGUUCAGGGGCUUCGAAAAGAACCUCUGCAGCACUGUUGCCUUCUCCGUUUUAUAGUAGAGCGCGGCAUGGUGCCGCCAUUAAUGGCGCAGAC
RNAcentral lists this long non-coding RNA (357 nucleotides) under Elaeis guineensis (African oil palm). RNAcentral's name for it is "long non-coding RNA (EGUI_LNC023654)". Lineage: Eukaryota; Viridiplantae; Streptophyta; Magnoliopsida; Arecales; Arecaceae. The record is from RNAcentral.